AUCCACUGACGAGUCCCAAAUAGGAUGAAACGCACAUCUUGGAU
Molecule: non-coding RNA, 44 nt
Organism: Schistosoma mattheei
Lineage: Eukaryota; Metazoa; Platyhelminthes; Trematoda; Strigeidida; Schistosomatidae
Source: Rfam